This 83-nucleotide transfer RNA is filed under the name Candidatus Tectimicrobiota bacterium. RNAcentral's name for it is "tRNA-Ser". It matches the Rfam family "tRNA". Rfam says of the family: Transfer RNA (tRNA) molecules are approximately 80 nucleotides in length. Their secondary structure includes four short double-helical elements and three loops (D, anti-codon, and T loops). Further hydrogen bonds mediate the characteristic L-shaped molecular structure. tRNAs have two regions of fundamental functional importance: the anti-codon, which is responsible for specific mRNA codon recognition, and the 3' end, to which the tRNAs corresponding amino acid is attached (by aminoacyl-tRNA synthetases). tRNAs cope with the degeneracy of the genetic code in two manners: having more than one tRNA (with a specific anti-codon) for a particular amino acid; and 'wobble' base-pairing, i.e. permitting non-standard base-pairing at the 3rd anti-codon position. The record is from RNAcentral. Lineage: Bacteria; Pseudomonadati; Candidatus Tectimicrobiota.
GGAGGGAUGGCCGAGUGGUUUAAGGCGGCGGUCUUGAAAACCGUUGGGCGCGAGCCCCGCAGGUUCGAAUCCUGCUCCCUCCG